Long non-coding RNA from Passer domesticus (house sparrow), 625 nucleotides. RefSeq lists it as uncharacterized. NCBI's taxonomy places the organism in Eukaryota, Metazoa, Chordata, Aves, Passeriformes, Passeridae. The transcript has 3 exons. The record is from RefSeq and is a predicted model, not a curated record.
AUCCAGCUCUGGGCCCCUCAGUUUGGAAAGCACCUUGAGUCACUUGAGCGCAUCCAGAGGAGGGCAACAAGGCUGGUGAGGGGCUUGGAACACAAGUCCUGUGAGAAAUGACUGAGGGAGCUGGAGGUGUUUAGCCUGGAGAAAAGGAAACUCAGAGAGGAAGAUCAUCCAGAAUCAACCCAGUAAAAAGAAUUGUCAUAAAAUCUCACACCAUUGACUUGUAAAUGGAAUUGAAUCUGUGGAGUCUACAUAAUGAUCCUAUCAAAAAGGGAAAGAGCUAUCACAUUCAUAUAACAGAUGAGAUAUGAAAUGACUACUAUGGCAGAUGAACACCCCAGAGGUUGAGAGACAAAAAGCACAAUGUGACCUUCUACAAUAUUCUACAUACCACAUUAAGCCCUAGACCCAUAUGUAUCCUCUACGAGCAUAUUAUCAGUAAACAAGGUAAAGAGUGGACAGCAAACAAAGAGAACAAGACUUUGAGAGUUAGAACUGUUGCUAAAUCAAUCCUUCAUAUCUCUUUCCCUUUACAAAAAGGAAAGGAAAUAUUCCAAACUGUGCCCAGAGCAUAGAUAGCAACCUUUGAAUUACAGAGUGGUACUGAAAGUGUAGUGCAUCUAACCUC